This 93-nucleotide small nucleolar RNA is filed under the name Spermophilus dauricus (Daurian ground squirrel). Lineage: Eukaryota; Metazoa; Chordata; Mammalia; Rodentia; Sciuridae. The record is from RNAcentral.
UUUUCAGUAGUGUGAUACAUGAGGGGCAAGUUUUUCACUAACACUUUAUUCUGACCCAAUGAGUGGAGUUUGAUAGUAAUCCUUCCUACAAAU